GACAGAGGUGCCGAGCGUUAGGCGGAAUCACUGGGCUUAAAGCGUGUGUAGGCGGGCCGUUAAGUGUCUUGUGAAAUCCCCCGGCUCAACCGGGGAAUUGCUGGGCAUACUGGCGGUCUUGAGCAAUCUAGGGGCAGAUGGAACAAGUGGUGGAGCGGUGAAAUGCGUAGAUAUCACUUGGAACGCCAAAGGUGAAGACAGUCUGCUGGGGAUUUGCUGACGCUGAGACACGAAAGCCAGAGGAGCGAACGGG
This 253-nucleotide ribosomal RNA is filed under the name uncultured bacterium. RNAcentral's name for it is "partial 16S ribosomal RNA". It matches the Rfam family "Bacterial small subunit ribosomal RNA", at positions 524 to 776 of the family's 1533-position model. The record is from RNAcentral.